UACGAAGGGUGCUAGCGUUGUUCGGAAUCAUUGGGCGUAAAGCGUGCGUAGGCGGCUUGGCAAGUCAAUUGUGAAAGCCCAGGGCUUAACCCUGGAAUUGCAGUUGAAACUUCCUAGCUAGAGUAUGAAGAGGGAUAGUGGAAUUCUUAGUGUAGGGGUGAAAUCCGUAGAUAUUAAGAGGAACACCGGUGGCGAAAGCGACUAUCUAUAUCAUUACUGACGCUGUUGCACGAAAGCGUGGGGAGCAAACAGG
Molecule: ribosomal RNA, 253 nt
Filed under: uncultured bacterium
Lineage: Bacteria
Description: partial 16S ribosomal RNA
Rfam family: Bacterial small subunit ribosomal RNA
Source: RNAcentral